ACUGAGCCGCGCCAGCUGAGCCAGGUUUGCAGUAAGCAUUGGCUACUGGCAUGACCCUUACAUACAGCACUUUGUGAGACUGUCUAAAGAGAGGAAAGCCCCUGAAAUCAACAGAGGAUAUUUUGCUCGAGUCCAUGGUGUCAGUCAGCUUAUAAAGGCAUUUCUACGGAAGACAGAAUGUCAUUGUCAAAUUGUCAACCUUGGGGCAGGCAUGGAUACCACCUUCUGGAGAUUAAAGGAUGAAGAUCUUCUCCCAAGUAAAUAUUUUGAGGUUGACUUUCCAAUGAUUGUCACGAGAAAGCUGCACAGUAUCAAAUGCAAGCCUCCCCUAUCCAGCCCCAUUCUAGAACUGCAUUCAGAGGACACACUUCAGAUGGCUUGAGUAGCCCCUGACUUAAGAAGAGCAACUGAAUCAUGGGAUGCUGGUGUGAGUUACUCAAGUCAUCAAAUUCUAUCAUUCAAAGGGAUCUCAAGGUCGUCUUGUCCAGUGCUUCCCAUGUGGUAUACCAGUAUGCCACCACA
Molecule: small RNA, 522 nt
Filed under: Pan troglodytes (chimpanzee)
Lineage: Eukaryota; Metazoa; Chordata; Mammalia; Primates; Hominidae
Description: processed transcript
Source: RNAcentral